Molecule: long non-coding RNA, 1161 nt
Filed under: Sus scrofa (pig)
Lineage: Eukaryota; Metazoa; Chordata; Mammalia; Artiodactyla; Suidae
Description: lncRNA (ENSSSCG00070011703.1)
Source: RNAcentral
AUGGGUGGGCCAUGGGGACAGAGCAACGUGCAGCCAGUGGACCCGAGGCAGUGUCAGGUGGGACAUAGAUGCAAGAUCAAGUCACAUGGGUCAUAUGGCGUUAUUGCCAUUUGGAUUUUGGCUUCACUUUUUGUGUUUGUUUCUUCCCUAGUGUGUCUAAGUCACACUCCCAUGUGUGUGCUGGGACCUCGCAGCAUCACCCCAUCCCUGGAAGUCCUCUGCCUGCGCAAGCAGCCCUGGAACUCUCCAGGCAUCUUUCUGCCCCAGACGUGUGGCCACCUCUGUGGCCACCUCGACGGGAGCCGCAUCCCCACGGUCUGCCGGGGCCUGAGCAGGAGCCGCCACGGAAGUUGCUGCAUGGCGCUGACAAACUCUUCACGAGCUGAGGCAGAUGUAGCUCCUGCUUCGGCCGUUCUGUGUUGGCAGCCAGCUAGACCUGACGCGCUUGUGUGCACUGGGAGACCUAAGCGGAACAUUCAGGAAAGUUUUCCUUGGGGAGUUUUGUUAGGGAAUCCAGACCUCACAAGCCUGUCCCAGCAAGUGAAAAAAAAUACAAUGGGAAUUUUUUGGUAAACCCGCAACAUUGCUGAGAGUGUAAUUAGUCUCAAUUUUUCAUGUAAUGAUUGUAUCUGCAAAGAUUGGCAAAAGGCAGGGAGAAGGUUGUCUUUAUGAGUGGGUCAGGAAAGGGGCACUAGUGUGAGACACAGGAGCCAGGUCCCCCCUGCCCCUUUGGGAUUGUGUGAGUUACACUCAUGGCAACAGGGCAGGGUGUCACUCUGUUUUCUUAGCAAUCAGGUAAGUAUCUCACUGGGCUGAGCCUUGGGUUGUAUUUGUGUUAUAUGAGGGGCUGGCUGGCUAAGCCCAAAGGUCUCUGGUAAAACAGAGAAUCUCUGGAGUUCCCACUGUGGUGCAGUGGUUAACGAAUCCGACUAGGAACCAUGAGGUUGCAGGUUCAAUCCCUGGCCUUGCUCAGUGGGUUAAGGAUCCGGCAUUGCUGUGACUGUGGCUGUGGUGUAGGCCGGUGGCUACAGCUCCGAUUCGACCCCUAGCCUGGGAACCUCCAUGUGCCACGGGAGUGGCUCAAGAAAAGGCCAAAAAAAAAAAAAAAAAAAAGAAAAAAAGAAAAAGUAAUAAAUAAAUAAAUAAACCAGAGACUCUCCA